RNAcentral lists this ribosomal RNA (228 nucleotides) under uncultured Streptococcaceae bacterium. Its description in RNAcentral is "partial 16S ribosomal RNA". It matches the Rfam family "Bacterial small subunit ribosomal RNA", at positions 111 to 334 of the family's 1533-position model. Lineage: Bacteria; Bacillati; Bacillota; Bacilli; Lactobacillales; Streptococcaceae. The record is from RNAcentral.
UAACGCGUAGGUAACCUGCCUGGUAGCGGGGGAUAACUAUUGGAAACGAUAGCUAAUACCGCAUAAUAUUAAUUAUUGCAUGAUAAUUGAUUAAAAGGUGCAAUUGCACCACUACCAGAUGGACCUGCGUUGUAUUAGCUAGUAGGUGAGGUAACGGCUCACCUAGGCGACGAUACAUAGCCGACCUGAGAGGGUGAUCGGCCACACUGGGACUGAGACACGGCCCAG